RNAcentral lists this unclassified non-coding RNA (200 nucleotides) under soil metagenome. Its description in RNAcentral is "partial contains internal transcribed spacer 2 and large subunit ribosomal RNA". The record is from RNAcentral.
CCUGUUCGAGCGUCAUUUAAACAAUCAAGCCUUGCUUGGUCUUGGGUGUGGUCGAGUGACCCGUCCGUAACCCGUUGGCGGUGCAGUCCGGCUUCAAGCGUAGCAAAAAUUUCGCUUCAGGAGUCCGCGGCGGUACUUGCCAGGUAACUUGCAAUCUAAAGUUUGACCUCGGAUCAGGUGAGGAUACCCGCUGAACUUAA